UGAUAACUCCUGGCACAACCAUUAAGACCCUCAUCUAUAGUGGAUUGGAACAAAGCACAGGUGACUGUAACACAGAUUGAUGAAAGAUUCUGCAGGACGACAAAGGUUAAAGAUGCAGACCCGGAGCUAGAAGCCAGCACUGACAAUGAUGGAGUGGACUGCGAUGAGAAUGCCCACAUUAUUGUCCUAUCCUCUGAUAACCAAUGUAAUAUGAAAACCAACUACAGAAGAAAGGAACAAAUUAAAUCCAUUAAUCAAGCAUAUCUCUGCUAAACAGUUGUUCGAAACUGAUGAACAAAUGAAAAAUUUACUGUUUGUUUUCACGCUUGCAAGGAUUGGGGAAGAAAAUUAAUUAUAAGGUACUGGCGACACUAUUAGUUAAGUUUUUCUUGAGGAAACUAUUGCUUUGUCAAAGGACAAAUGAACCUCAUUAGGGAGAUUAGUUUCAGCUGGUAGUUUUGCAUUAGUACAAACUAAUAAUACACACUUCAAAAGAUACCCUGAGUAAGAUUAUGGAAAUUGAAAUCCAUUUGUUACUUCUUAAUUUACUAACUGUUAGAAAAUGACCACUCUAUUACUUAUCAUGAAACCGGAAG
RNAcentral lists this long non-coding RNA (596 nucleotides) under Pongo abelii (Sumatran orangutan). RNAcentral describes it as "lincRNA". The record is from RNAcentral. Lineage: Eukaryota; Metazoa; Chordata; Mammalia; Primates; Hominidae.